UGCCCUGUGGAGACACGGAUGUGCCUAGC
This 29-nucleotide non-coding RNA is filed under the name Mus musculus (house mouse). The record is from RNAcentral. Lineage: Eukaryota; Metazoa; Chordata; Mammalia; Rodentia; Muridae.